Molecule: unclassified non-coding RNA, 21 nt
Filed under: Chlamydomonas reinhardtii
Lineage: Eukaryota; Viridiplantae; Chlorophyta; Chlorophyceae; Chlamydomonadales; Chlamydomonadaceae
Description: small RNA Cre_1162
Source: RNAcentral
CCUGCGUUAUCUUUUAACAGA